CCAGAUUGUUCUUGGCCCCAGCUGGAAGCGUACUUAUUGUGUCAGCAAGAAUCCAGUGGGCUCUGGAGUGUGACCUGCUACUGGGUAGAAAUUGAACAAAAGCAUUCUUUGCUAUUAUACCUGGGUUGUUCUUCACUGUUCCCUGGGAAUCUGUUACGGAAAUUAUGCUGAGCUAAUAAUUCUGAUGGGAUGAUCUUCACUCAUGCAGACUGUGGCGUCAUGUAGAAGGAAGGCUAAUAUGGAUGUGAGGUUCAAGAUCAAGAUGGGCAACUGAUGGUCAGACUCCAGUGGUUCUUCAAAACUUUCUAGGAGGUAAACAAGAUGAAAGGGAAAGCACACAAAUUUGCUGGAAUUUGGAAAACACGAACCCUGGAAUUUGGAGGAGUCACUUCCACUGGAAAAUACUUUUAUAUUAUUUAUAGUGGCUACCAUUACUGUGCUCACUUUACAGGUGAGGUUCAGAGAUUUAUGUAACAUGCCAAAGGUCACACAGCUGGACACAGCAGAACCAAGAUUCAAAUCUGCACAGGCUCUCAACCAAUUGGAUGGCACCUGCCCACCUUCCCUAAGAGUGGUUCUUCCUUACUUAGUACACUGAUUCAAAUGCCAUCUCUCCUGGAAACAUCCUGACAGACAUGCCCAGAAAUAAUGUUUUACUGGCUAUCUAGAUAUCCCUCAACCCAGUCAAGUUGACACCUAAAAUGAACCAUCACAAUACCAAUUGUGAAAACUGUGUUACUAUUUGUCAAAGAUUUGGCUUUCUCAUCUGGUGAGAAAAUUAUACUUGCCCAACCUGUUGAAAUCAGGCAGGGCAAUGACUGACUUAACUAUGGCUAACAAAAUAUAAACAGAAGUGAUAUGUGUCACUUUUAGGCAGAAGUUUUCAGAGUCGCUGCUUGAUGAUAAGACGUGUUCUUUUUCACUAGUCUUCAAAUAUGGAAGCAUGUGAAAAGUCUGGGCACCUCACUGACCACAAGGAGCAGAGGUCCCUGGAUAACACAUGAUGGAUGUGUGACAAGAAUGAGAAAUAAACAGUGUUGGUUUAAGCCUCUGAGAUUCUGAUUCCACUGCAUAGCCUAGCCUCUCCAGAAUGGCCAAGCAAACCUUCCCAAACAGACCUGAUGACGAGUCAGCGGCUGAAAUCAGCCUUCAAAACUAGCUCCCAGUGAAUGGACAAUGAAACUUAGAAAUGAAUAAACUGAAAGCACGUGAAAGGACUGGAAAAAUAGUAAAACGAGUAAUCAGUAACAACUUCUGACUUCCUCUGGCCAUCCUUCUACUUAACUAAGAAAAUUUGAAGCAACGAAAACAAUGUAUGCAAGCCUACAUCACCACCUUUAUCUGCCUUCAAGACUCCACUCACACAGUUUGUCUUUCCUGUUGCAAUUAGAGUGAACUGGUAGUGAUCUUAUCUGAGACCAAUUUAUAUGUGUGUUCUAAAUCUCAUCUCUUCCAGCCUCCUCAGGAACAACAAUUCUCCUGCCUUUCUUCUAUGCCAUUAAUUUCUUCCCUUCUACCACUGCAUUCUCAUCAGCAUUUAACAUGGGUCUUGCAUCAUAUCCCAAUACUCCUGUUAACAGCCAGCCACAUGGGACUACUUGUCAGUCACCUAAGCCUGCAAUGCAUUGUCAUUAUGUUAUGCUUUAGGUGAACUGGUGAUCUUCUGCUUGAAAUGUUACUUACCCCCUGCAACCAUACAAACAUAGUUUGUCUCUCAAACCCUCCAAAUAUUCCCUCUGUGAAACAUUUUCUGAUUUUCCUCAAUGAGAAUUAUUUCACUUUUGUUUUCUCAACAGUUUUUUUUCAUUCACUUAUUUGAAGUGCUUACUAUAUUGCCAAUCAGUGAACAAGAUGUUUUAAAGGAAAUGUGGGCACAUUUGGGCAUACACACAAACAACACAAGGCAAUUAUCCUAAUUAUGUUUUGAAUCAAAUUCUAAAUGUAAUCAUUUGUGGUUAAACAUAUGGAACUAAUAGUUGAGCACUUUUAACUUUUAUUUUGAUUAUCUCUUUAUUUAUCCACCUUUCCUUGUAGUAUGCUAGUGUUGGAUGAAAGCUUUCUUUGGUCACUGGGGUUCAUUGGUUAUUGGUCAAGACCGUGAGGCUCAGAGUAAUGCAGAUGUGACUGUAAGUUCUGCUCUUCUGAUUAUCUGUGUCUCAGCUUCAUUAAAACCUGGAUUUCUUAGUUAUGCAGAUGCACAAUUUUGUAGGAUCAAAUGUGUGAUGCUUAUAACACAAUUAGCACACUGUCUAGCACAGAGUUGGUCCCUCAUAAACACUGGACAUUACUGAUUCUGUAAAUAUUGUUUUAUUUUUAUCAUAUUUAUUUUCACAAUAGUAUUGCAGUAUCUGGCAUAUAGUAGUGCUUAUUAAACAUGUGAUGGAU
Long non-coding RNA from Pan troglodytes (chimpanzee), 2385 nucleotides. RefSeq lists it as uncharacterized. Lineage: Eukaryota; Metazoa; Chordata; Mammalia; Primates; Hominidae. The record is from RefSeq and is a predicted model, not a curated record. The transcript has 6 exons.